GAUGAACGCUGGCGGCGUGCCUAAUACAUGCAAGUCGAACGAUAGCCUCGUUUUCGGAUGAGGUGAAAGUGGCGAACGGGUGAGUAACACAUGGCUGACCUGCCCUUCAGAGGGGGACAACUGCUGGAAACGGCAGCUAAUACCCCAUACGCUCGGGGAGAUUAGAGGCUCCUUGAGGAAAGCCUACGGGUGCUGAGGGAGGGGGCUGUGGCCCAUCAGCUAGUUGGUAGGGUAACGGCCUACCAAGGCGAGGACGGGUAGGGGGCCUGAGAGGGUGACCCCCCACACGGGCACUGAGAUACGGGCCCGACUCCUACGGGAGGCAG
This 326-nucleotide ribosomal RNA is filed under the name uncultured Chloroflexota bacterium. RNAcentral's name for it is "bacterial SSU rRNA". It matches the Rfam family "Bacterial small subunit ribosomal RNA", at positions 28 to 351 of the family's 1533-position model. Lineage: Bacteria; Bacillati; Chloroflexota. The record is from RNAcentral.